AAGUGCGGCCAUAGUAGUAUUAAUGCACUGGACCAUAAGAACUCCGAAGUUCAGCGUGCUAGGCAAUAGUAGUACUAGGAUGAAUGAACUCCUAGGAAGUCCUUGUGUUGCACCCC
This 116-nucleotide ribosomal RNA is filed under the name Amborella trichopoda. Lineage: Eukaryota; Viridiplantae; Streptophyta; Magnoliopsida; Amborellales; Amborellaceae. The record is from RNAcentral.